CCUACGGGAGGCUGCAGUGGGGAAUAUUGGGCAAUGGGCGCAAGCCUGACCCAGCAACGCCGCGUGAAGGAAGCAGGCUUUCGGGUUGUAAACUUCUUUUAAGAGGGAAGAGCAGAAGACGGUACCUCUUGUAUCAGCAACGGCUAAAUACGUGCCAGCAGCCGCGGUAAUACGUAGGUGGCAAGCGUUGUCCGGAUUUACUGGGUGUAAAGGGCGUGCAGCCGGGAAGACAAGGCAGAUGUGAAAUCCCGCGGCUCAACCGCGGAACUGCAGUUGAAACUGUUGUUCUUGAGUGCCGGAGAGGUCAGCGGAAUGCGUUGUGUAGCGGUGAAAUGCGUAGAUAUAAGGAAGAACACC
Molecule: ribosomal RNA, 357 nt
Filed under: uncultured bacterium
Lineage: Bacteria
Description: partial 16S ribosomal RNA
Rfam family: Bacterial small subunit ribosomal RNA
Source: RNAcentral